CAGGUGGCUCCUCAAUUUAAACAUUUGGAUUGGGGAGCCACUUUUG
This 46-nucleotide non-coding RNA is filed under the name Spodoptera frugiperda (fall armyworm). Lineage: Eukaryota; Metazoa; Arthropoda; Insecta; Lepidoptera; Noctuidae. The record is from RNAcentral.